Molecule: microRNA precursor, 59 nt
Filed under: Alligator mississippiensis (American alligator)
Lineage: Eukaryota; Metazoa; Chordata; Crocodylia; Alligatoridae
Description: Ami-Mir-31_pre stem-loop
Rfam family: mir-31 microRNA precursor family
Source: RNAcentral
AGGCAAGAUGUUGGCAUAGCUGUUGACCUAAGAACCUGCUAUGCCAACAUCUUGUCAUC